GGUGGCGAUUAUUCUGGACUUGCCCCACCUGUUCCCAUUCCGAACACAGAAGUGAAAUAGUCCAAGGCCGAUGAUAGUGGUUUUACCGCGAAAGUAGGUAGUCGCCACCC
This 110-nucleotide ribosomal RNA is filed under the name Candidatus Nealsonbacteria bacterium RIFOXYB1_FULL_40_15. The record is from RNAcentral. Lineage: Bacteria; Candidatus Nealsoniibacteriota. RNAcentral also lists the same sequence under 2 other names.